Molecule: ribosomal RNA, 253 nt
Filed under: uncultured bacterium
Lineage: Bacteria
Description: partial 16S ribosomal RNA
Rfam family: Bacterial small subunit ribosomal RNA
Source: RNAcentral
UACGGGGGGGGCAAGCGUUGUUCGGAAUUACUGGGCGUAAAGGGCUCGUAGGCGGCCAACUAAGUCGGGCGUGAAAUCCCUCGGCUUAACCGGGGAACUGCGUCCGAUACUGGAUGGCUUGAGUUUGGGAGAGGGAUGCGGAAUUCCAGGUGUAGCGGUGAAAUGCGUAGAUAUCUGGAGGAACACCGGUGGCGAAGGCGGCAUCCUGGACCAACACUGACGCUGAGGAGCGAAAGCCAGGGGAGCAAACGGG